RNAcentral lists this ribosomal RNA (1201 nucleotides) under Halalkalibacter alkalisediminis. RNAcentral describes it as "bacterial SSU rRNA". It matches the Rfam family "Bacterial small subunit ribosomal RNA", at positions 284 to 1473 of the family's 1533-position model. The record is from RNAcentral. Lineage: Bacteria; Bacillati; Bacillota; Bacilli; Caryophanales; Bacillaceae.
AGCGAUCCUUUGAGAGAGGUAUUCGACACCUUGGACUGAACCGCUAGGCAUUCCUACGGAGUCAGCAGAUACGGAAUCUCGGCAAUUGAACGAAAGUUCCGACCGAGCACGCCGCGUGAGUGAUGAAGGAUUCCGUUUCGUUAAAGCUUCGGUUGUUAAGGAGGACAAGUGUUCGUCAAAUAGGGCGGCACCUUGACGGUACCUAACCAGAAAGCACGGCUAACUAACGUGCCAGCAGCGCGGGUAAUACGUAGGUGGCAAGCGUUGUCCGGAAUUAUUGGGCGUAAAGCGCGCGCAGGCGGUCUUUUAAGUCUGAUGUGAAAGCCCCCGGCUCAACCCGGGGAGGGUCAUUGGAAACUGGGAGACUUGAGUACAGAAGAGGAGAGUGGAAUUCCACGUGUAGCGGUGAAAUGCGUAGAUAUGUGGAGGAACACCAGUGGCGAAGGCGACUCUCUGGUCUGUAACUGACGCUGAGGCGCGAAAGCGUGGGGAGCAAACAGGAUUAGAUACCCUGGUAGUCCACGCCGUAAACGAUGAGUGCUAGGUGUUAGGGGUUUCGAUGCCCUUAGUGCCGAAGUUAACACAUUAAGCACUCCGCCUGGGGAGUACGACCGCAAGGUUGAAACUCAAAGGAAUUGACGGGGGCCCGCACAAGCAGUGGAGCAUGUGGUUUAAUUCGAAGCAACGCGAAGAACCUUACCAGGUCUUGACAUCCUUUGACAAUCCUAGAGAUAGGACUUUCCCCUUCGGGGGACAAAGUGACAGGUGGUGCAUGGUUGUCGUCAGCUCGUGUCGUGAGAUGUUGGGUUAAGUCCCGCAACGAGCGCAACCCUUGAUCUUAGUUGCCAGCAUUCAGUUGGGCACUCUAAGGUGACUGCCGGUGAUAAACCGGAGGAAGGUGGGGACGACGUCAAAUCAUCAUGCCCCUUAUGACCUGGGCUACACACGUGCUACAAUGGAUGGUACAAAGAGCAGCAAAACCGCGAGGUCGAGCCAAUCUCAUAAAGCCAUUCUCAGUUCGGAUUGUAGGCUGCAACUCGCCUACAUGAAGCCGGAAUUGCUAGUAAUCGCGGAUCAGCAUGCCGCGGUGAAUACGUUCCCGGGCCUUGUACACACCGCCCGUCACACCACGAGAGUUUGUAACACCCGAAGUCGGUGGGGUAACCCUUACGGGAGCUAGCCGCCUAAAGUGGAACAAAAA